Molecule: ribosomal RNA, 442 nt
Filed under: uncultured bacterium
Lineage: Bacteria
Description: partial 16S ribosomal RNA
Rfam family: Bacterial small subunit ribosomal RNA
Source: RNAcentral
CCUACGUGAGGCAGCAGUGGGGAAUAUUGGGCAAUGGGCGCAAGCCUGACCCAGCAACGCCGCGUGAAGGACGCAGGCUUUCGGGUUGUAAACUUCUUUUCUGGGGGACGAACAACUGACGGUACCCCAGGAAUCAGCCACGGCUAACUACGUGCCAGCAGCCGCGGGAAUACGGAGGUGGCAAGCGUUAACCGGAUUUAUUGGUUGUAAGGGGCGUGUAGGCGGGAAUGAAAGUCAGGUGUGAAAACUCAGGGCUCCACCCUGAGCCUGCAUUUGAAACUGUGUUUCUUGAGUGCUGGAGAGGCAAUCGGAAUUCCGGGUGUAGCGGUGAAAUGCGUAGAUAUACGGAGGAACACCAGUGGCGAAGGCGGAUUGCUGGACAGUAACUGACGCUGAGGCGCGAAAGCGUGGGGAGCAAACAGGAUUAGAUACCCGAGUAGUC